UACCCGCAGCACAAGUGGUGGUCGUUAUUAUUGGGCCUAAAGCGUCCGUAGCUGGCCUGUUAGGUGCCUGGGUAAAUCGAUGCGCUCAACGUAUCGAACUCCGGGUAGACCGGCAGGCUUGGGACCGGGAGAGAUGUGAGCUACUCGAGGGGUAGGGGUAAAAUCCUGUAAUCCUUCGGGGAGGACCAGUGGCGAAGGCGUCACAUUAGAACGGCUCCGACAGUGAGGGACUAAGCCCUGGGGCGCAAACCGG
RNAcentral lists this ribosomal RNA (253 nucleotides) under uncultured bacterium. Its description in RNAcentral is "partial 16S ribosomal RNA". It matches the Rfam family "Archaeal small subunit ribosomal RNA", at positions 474 to 727 of the family's 1478-position model. The record is from RNAcentral.